AGUGAACGCUGGCGGUAGGCCUAACACAUGCCAGUCGAACGGCAGCACAGUAAGAGCUUGCUCUUACGGGUGGCGAGUGGCGGACGGGUGAGGAAUACAUCGGAAUCUACUUUUUCGUGGGGGAUAACGUAGGGAAACUUACGCUAAUACCGGAUACGACCUACGGGUGAAAGCAGGGGAACUUCGGACCUUGCGCGGUUGAAUGAGCCGAUGUGGGAGUAGAUGGUUGGCGGGGUAAAGGCCCACCAAGGGGACGAUACGUGGCUGGUCUGUGAGGAGGGUCACCCACAUUGGAACUGAGACACCGUCCAUACUCCUACGGGAGGGAGCAGUGGGGAAUAUUGGACAAUGGGGGCAAGCCUGAUCCAGCCAUACCGCGUGGGUGAAGAAGGCCCUCGGGUUGUAAAGCCCUUUUGUUGGGAAAGAAAAGCAGCAGGUUAAUACCCCGCUGUUCUGACGGUACCCAAAGAAUAAGCACCGGCUAACUUCGUG
RNAcentral lists this ribosomal RNA (492 nucleotides) under uncultured bacterium. Its description in RNAcentral is "partial 16S ribosomal RNA". It matches the Rfam family "Bacterial small subunit ribosomal RNA", at positions 29 to 507 of the family's 1533-position model. The record is from RNAcentral.